CACUUGCUAUUCGCCCGGGUACUACGAGCAUUAGCUUAAAACCCAAAGGACUUGGCGGUGCUUAAGACCCCCCUAGAGGAGCCUGUUCUAGAACCGAUAACCCCCGUUAAACCUCACCCUCUCUUGUUCAUCCCGUCUAUAUACCGCCGUCGUCAGCUUACCCUAUGAAGGAUUAAUAGUAAGCAAGAUUAGCAAAACUCAAAACGUCAGGUCGAGGUGUAGCGAAUGAGGGGGGAAGAAAUGGGCUACAUUCCUUAAAACGAAAAACGCAAUGAAAUGUGCAUUGGAAGGAGGAUUUAGCAGUAAGCAGAAAACAGAGAG
Molecule: ribosomal RNA, 321 nt
Filed under: Enneapterygius gruschkai
Lineage: Eukaryota; Metazoa; Chordata; Actinopteri; Blenniiformes; Tripterygiidae
Description: partial 12S ribosomal RNA
Rfam family: Bacterial small subunit ribosomal RNA
Source: RNAcentral